This 253-nucleotide ribosomal RNA is filed under the name uncultured bacterium. Its description in RNAcentral is "partial 16S ribosomal RNA". It matches the Rfam family "Bacterial small subunit ribosomal RNA", at positions 524 to 776 of the family's 1533-position model. The record is from RNAcentral.
UACAGAGGGCUCAAGCGUUGUUCGGAUUCAUUGGGCGUAAAGGGCGCGUAGGCGGCGCUGUAAGUCGGGUGUGAAAUUUCGGAGCUUAACUCCGAAACUGCAUUCGAUACUGCGGUGCUUGAGGACUGGAGAGGAGACUGGAAUUCAUGGUGUAGCAGUGAAAUGCGUAGAGAUCAUGAGGAAGACCAGUGGCGAAGGCGGGUCUCUGGACAGUUCCUGACGCUGAGGCACGAAGGCCAGGGGAGCAAACAGG